This is a long non-coding RNA of Dicentrarchus labrax (European seabass), 726 nucleotides long. RefSeq lists it as uncharacterized. The transcript is spliced from 2 exons. The record is from RefSeq and is a predicted model, not a curated record. Lineage: Eukaryota; Metazoa; Chordata; Actinopteri; Moronidae.
UUAUUAUAGUUGAAUGUGCGGAUGUGUCUUCUGUUUUAGUUAAAGCAACAUUGAUAGUCGAUUUGUCUCGUUUUAAGCACUGAGGAGGGUUAAGUGAGUUUGAGUUUUUGGUGGGUAAAUGUGCUUAAACUUAGCAGGGGCAGAUCUAGAGGGGCUGCCACCCUUCUGUCCACCCCAGCUGCCGCGAAUGCUGUCAAAUAUAACUCAUUCAUUUAGAAACAUUUUAAAAAGAACAUGUUUAAAAACGGACAUUAACACAUAAUAAUAAUUUAAUGAUCUGUAAUGGACACAUUUUAGAAAAAGUGAUUCAGAGGUGUCAAAAGUACACACAUUCUUUACUCAAGUAGAAGUUCAGAAAAAGCUUCCAGUAAAAGUAAAAGUACUGAUUCAACUUAAGUUACUUAAGUUAAAGUGAAAGGGUGCAGGCUCUUCUUAUUCCCUUUGUUUCUCUGACGGACAUUCCUACUGGCUGUUUCUGUGCUAAGCUAACUGAGACUUCAAACAGGGUCAACUCUUGCUCGUGUCUGUCAUCUUGACGUUUGUUUUGCAUUGUAUGCAUCAGGCUUGAUGUUGGGACCAUUCUCUGUCCGCCGGCCUGUCAGCCACGCUCACAACCAGCCUUUGUCCUCUGUCUCUCCAUGGAGUCCCUGCCUGCAUCCUCUGGAUUCCCCUCCACCACAUUCAUUCCCCUUUUAGUCUGGACAAUAAAUUACUCUCUUCAUCAAA